GGCUCAGGAUGAACGCUGGCGGCGUGCCUAAUACAUGCAAGUCGAGCGAACUUUUGGGAGCUUGCUCCCAAAAGUUAGCGGCGGACGGGUGAGUAACACGUGGGCAACCUGCCUAUAAGACUGGGAUAACUUCGGGAAACCGGAGCUAAUACCGGAUAACAUAUGAGACCACAUGGUCUCAUAUUAAAAGAUGGCUUUUAGCUAUCACUUAUAGAUGGGCCCGCGGCGCAUUAGCUAGUUGGUGAGGUAAUGGCUCACCAAGGCGACGAUGCGUAGCCGACCUGAGAGGGUGAUCGGCCACACUGGGACUGAGACACGGCCCAGACUCCUACGGGAGGCAGCAGUAGGGAAUCUUCCGCAAUGGACGAAAGUCUGACGGAGCAACGCCGCGUGAGCGAAGAAGGUCUUCGGAUCGUAAAGCUCUGUUGUUAGGGAAGAACAAGUACCGUUCAAAUAGGGCGGUACCUUGACGGUACCUAACCAGAAAGCCACGGCUAACUACGUGCCAGCAGCCGCGGUAAUACGUAGGUGGCAAGCGUUAUCCGGAAUUAUUGGGCGUAAAGCGCGCGCAGGCGGUCCUUUAAGUCUGAUGUGAAAGCCCACGGCUCAACCGUGGAGGGUCAUUGGAAACUGGGGGACUUGAGUGCAGAAGAGGAGAGCGGAAUUCCACGUGUAGCGGUGAAAUGCGUAGAGAUGUGGAGGAACACCAGUGGCGAAGGCGGCUCUCUGGUCUGUAACUGACGCUGAGGCGCGAAAGCGUGGGGAGCGAACAGGAUUAGAUACCCUGGUAGUCCACGCCGUAAACGAUGAGUGCUAAGUGUUAGAGGGUUUCCGCCCUUUAGUGCUGCAGCAAACGCAUUAAGCACUCCGCCUGGGGAGUACGGUCGCAAGACUGAAACUCAAAGGAAUUGACGGGGGCCCGCACAAGCGGUGGAGCAUGUGGUUUAAUUCGAAGCAACGCGAAGAACCUUACCAGGUCUUGACAUCCCGUGGCAACUCCUAAAAUAGAGCUUUCCCCUUCGGGGGACACGGUGACAGGUGGUGCAUGGUUGUCGUCAGCUCGUGUCGUGAGAUGUUGGGUUAAGUCCCGCAACGAGCGCAACCCUUGAUCUUAGUUGCCAGCAUUAAGUUGGGCACUCUAAGGUGACUGCCGGUGACAAACCGGAGGAAGGUGGGGAUGACGUCAAAUCAUCAUGCCCCUUAUGACCUGGGCUACACACGUGCUACAAUGGAUGGUACAAAGGGCAGCGAAACCGCGAGGUUAAGCCAAUCCCAUAAAACCAUUCUCAGUUCGGAUUGCAGGCUGCAACUCGCCUGCAUGAAGCCGGAAUCGCUAGUAAUCGCGGAUCAGCAUGCCGCGGUGAAUACGUUCCCGGGCCUUGUACACACCGCCCGUCACACCACGAGAGUUUGUAACACCCGAAGUCGGUGGGGUAACCGUAAGGAGCCAGCCGCCUAAGGUGGGACAGAUGAUUGGGGUGAAGUCGUAA
This 1490-nucleotide ribosomal RNA is filed under the name Bacillus sp. (in: firmicutes). RNAcentral describes it as "bacterial SSU rRNA". It matches the Rfam family "Bacterial small subunit ribosomal RNA". The record is from RNAcentral. Lineage: Bacteria; Bacillati; Bacillota; Bacilli; Caryophanales; Bacillaceae.